RNAcentral lists this unclassified non-coding RNA (352 nucleotides) under soil metagenome. RNAcentral's name for it is "partial contains 5.8S ribosomal RNA, internal transcribed spacer 2, and large subunit ribosomal RNA". The stretch from base 1 to 120 matches the Rfam family "5.8S ribosomal RNA", at positions 35 to 154 of the family's 154-position model. The record is from RNAcentral.
GAUGAAGAACGUAGCGAAAUGCGAAAAGUAAUGUGAAUUGCAGAAUUCAGUGAAUCAUCGAAUCUUUGAACGCACAUUGCGCCCGCUGGUACUCCGGCGGGCACGCCUGUCCGAGCGUCAUUUCAACCCUCAAGCCCUCCUUCGGGAUGGGCCUGGUGUUGGGGCUCGGCCGCCAUCUCCGGCGGCCGUCCCCUAAAUACAGUGGCGGUCACGUCGCGACUCCUUUGCGUAGUAGAAACACCUCGCUCCGGAUAGCAACGCGGUCCACGCCGUAAAACCCCCAAUUUUCAAUGGUUGACCUCGGAUCAGGUGGGAAUACGCGCUGAACUUAAGCAUAUCAAUAAGCGGAGGA